AUUAAAAAUGACAAAUUUUUUAUUUUGUGACCUCUGGGAUUUAUGAGGGACAGUAACAAGAAAAGUUCAACAUUUCAUGAACAAAAAAAAAAACGUUUCUGAAAAUGCUUGAAGUGCUGCUGCCUUAGUUUGAUUUUAGCACUAAGAAACAACUGAGGUGUCCAUGUGUUAUCAGAAUCUUUCAUAUAAAGAGAACAUGUGCAUUAUAAAUCUUGGAUUUCUGCAUGAAGCCAGUCUUAAUACUGAAUAGAUUUACCCCAACAAAAUAAUCAGCACAACUGAACACUCAGUUGAAACAAAUAACCUGCACUGAUCUAUUUAAACUACCAAUCUAACUGCU
Molecule: non-coding RNA, 340 nt
Organism: Biomphalaria pfeifferi
Lineage: Eukaryota; Metazoa; Mollusca; Gastropoda; Planorbidae
Source: the annotation of a GenBank genome assembly